AGUGAACGCUGGCGGUAGGCCUAACACAUGCAAGUCGAACUGCAGCACAGGAGAGCUUGCUCUCUGGGUGGCGAGUGGCGGACGGGUGAGGAAUACAUCGGAAUCUACUCUGUCGUGGGGGAAAACGUAGGGAAACUUACGCUAACACCGCAUACGACCUACGGGUGAAAGUAGGGGUUCUUCGGACCUUGCGCGAUUGAAUGAGCCGAUGUCGGAUUAGCUAGUUGGCGGGGUAAAGGCCCACCAAGGCGACGAUCCGUAGCUGGUCCGAGAGGAUGAUCAGCCACACUGGAACAGAGACACGGUCCAGACUCCUACGGGAGGCAGCAGUGGGGAAUAUUGGACAAUGGGCGCAAGCCUGAUCCAGCCAUACCGCGUGGGUGAAGAAGGCCUUCGGGUUGUAAAGCCCUUUUGUUGGGAAAGAAAUCCAGCUGGCUAAUACCCGGUUGGAAUGACGGUACCCAAAGAAUAAGCACCGGCUAACUUCGUGCCAGCCGCCGCGGUAA
This 506-nucleotide ribosomal RNA is filed under the name uncultured bacterium. Its description in RNAcentral is "partial 16S ribosomal RNA". It matches the Rfam family "Bacterial small subunit ribosomal RNA", at positions 29 to 523 of the family's 1533-position model. The record is from RNAcentral.